CAUUGGAUAGCUCAAUCGGUAGAGCAACUGACUCAUCAUCAGCAUGUCGCGGGUUCGAUUCCCGCUCCAAACU
RNAcentral lists this transfer RNA (73 nucleotides) under Candidatus Accumulibacter contiguus. RNAcentral describes it as "tRNA-Met". It matches the Rfam family "tRNA". From Rfam's summary of the family: Transfer RNA (tRNA) molecules are approximately 80 nucleotides in length. Their secondary structure includes four short double-helical elements and three loops (D, anti-codon, and T loops). Lineage: Bacteria; Pseudomonadati; Pseudomonadota; Betaproteobacteria. The record is from RNAcentral.